CGCAGUGCCAGAAUGGAAGGAAGACUUCAAGAAGGAGGGCAGCUCCAUGGAGAGACUGGAUUCUUCGCUCCUUUGGUUGCCGCCUCUCUCGGCCUCGAUUAUCUCGGAUGUCUUCAAACGGCCUGGUACAUGGCUCUUCCUCACAGCUCCGAAGCCAGAGAGGAAGGAGCGGUCCCUCCAAUCCCAUUCAUUGCUGCUCAAGGGAGCAUUCUGAUUGGCCCAGCUCAAGGCUGGCCUCGUUGCAUCAACGCCUGGAGAGCAUCCAGAGGGCCCCCCUUGGUGGCAAAAGUUACCGAAUUCCUGCCACAUCUUAUUCCAGUUAAAACUGUGUUACCUCAAGGACUGGUCUUCAAGAAAGAUAGAAAGCCUGUUUCCACUUCGAUUUACAUCACCAUCAAAAGGUGUGCUCCUAGUUAAUGCUGCAAAUAUGGUG
RNAcentral lists this long non-coding RNA (433 nucleotides) under Equus caballus (horse). RNAcentral's name for it is "lncRNA (ENSECAG00000046978.1)". Lineage: Eukaryota; Metazoa; Chordata; Mammalia; Perissodactyla; Equidae. The record is from RNAcentral.